AGGCUUACACUCUCAGCACACAACUUCCACAUAUGCUGCCAAAGGGGCAGGGAGAGAGGGGUGAGACACACUAGCUUUUAACUUUUUAACUUUCUUAUCCUUUCCAUCCAAAGUCCUUGGGCCAGAACAGCCAGGAAACCUGCAUAUUUUGUGAGUACUGAUUGCUUCUGUCACACUCUUACGCCUCCGUCAAGCCUCUGCUCAGAGGGCAGCUUCUCUAUAAAGAGAAUUGCACAAGUCUUCCUGCCCCCUUCCAAGGAGAACAAAUUCCUUCCUUUUUAUGAUUCCACAGGACUUUGAUAUACAUCUUGACAGCUAAUAUCGAGGCCCAAGUGCUUUAAUUUUGAGAUUUUUAAAUUUUAAAAUGACUGCAUUGGCUUUUGCAGUGGGCAUCUGUUAUUCUUUUCUACUCAACACCCAUUAGUCUCUUUGGAGAACCUCCCUCUUCUGCCUUCAGUUUAUGAUUUUGAAGGGGCUGACCUACCUCUCAGCUCCAGGGGAGCACAGGUGGCCAGCCAGUCAGCACAUCCCAUUCCCUGGAUUCUGUGCUUGGUGCAAAGAUUAGCAUGUGACUCCAACUGGUCUGAUGAGACUCACAGCCAGGACUUUUUAAAAAAAUUUUUAAACUGAAGUGUAGUUGACGUACAGUGUUGUGUUGGUUUCAGUUAUACAGCAAAGUGAUUCAGUUAUGAUUGUUUUUCAUCUUUUCCAUUAUAGGCUAUUAUAAGAUAUUGAAGAUAGUUCUGAUAUGCUAUAAGUAAGUCCUUGUUGUUUAUCUAUUUUAUAUAUAGUAGUGUGUAUCCGUUAAUCCCAGUCUCCCAAUUUAUCCCCCCCUUUCCCCUUUGGUAAUCAUAAGUUUAUUUUCUGUGUCUUUGAGUCUAUUUAUAUUCUGUAAAUAAGUUCAUUUGUAUCAUUUUUUUUAGUUUCCACAUAUAAAUUUUAUCAUAUGAUAUUUGUCUUUCUCCACCUGACUUACUUCACUUGGUAUGAUAAUCUCUAGGUCCAUCCAUGUUGCUGUAAACGGCAUUAUUUCAUUCUUUUUUUUUAUGGCUGAGUAAUAAUCCAGUGUAUACAUGUACCACAUCUUCUUUAUCCAUUCCUUUGUCAAUGGACAUUUAGGUUGUUUCCAUGUCUUGGCUAUUGUGAAUAGUGCUGCAAUGAACAUUGGGGUGAAUAUAUCUAAUUAGGGUUCAUAAAAGCCAAGACUUUUAUUAACAUAUUUGGGGAAGAGAAGGUCUCUUUGCACUUGGAUGUACAGCUGUCAAAGUAAAGGGAGCUGAAGAUGUCUGAGGUCCCCAUUGGAGAAGAUCUGCUUGAGAAUGACGUCAACAGAGAGGAAGGUGGGACAGAGGGAGAAAGAGAUAGAACUGCAAAUAAAAAUAAAGGUAAAGACAAAGGAAUAGGGGAGGAAAAAGAGAGAGGAGAGACUGCUGUGAUUUGAGCCAUGUGAGACCUUUGGGUUAACUGGACCAGAAACCAUUCUUUCUUGAACUUUUCAAUGAAACUCCUGAAUUUUAUUUAAUUUUAAUCUGAUUUUAUUUUUGCUUAAACUCGUUUGAGCAAGAUUUUCUCUCACAUGUAACCCAAAGUUAUCUGAAUUUGCAAAUAGGUGAAACUAAUGAUAACAUCCUAAAAUGCCCCAAACUGUCAGUAUGUAGAUAAGAGAGAAGCAUCAGCCAUUUUCCUCACUGAUAGAUGAAGAAAUGGGUCCAUUCAGUAAUGACUGUGCUUAAAGAUUCCAAAUGAAGUUGGAUUGAAUACAAAAAAACCCAUGCCAUCUUUCUUUCAUCGCUUUUCCCUCCAAGUACUUCCUUGAUUAUUUGUUAGUCAUGAGUAGUUCUUUAUUCCUCAAGGCUCCUAGACCCACCACCUAACCCUGGAUUCCUACAGUUCAUGUUCAGUUACUAUCAGCCAUCGAAUCCUGGGUUUUCUCUUGAUGUGUUGUAAGUUGAGGAGAGUCCUGAACUUUCUUCAUUUCCUCUUGCUUUGAGUCCCAAUGGAACAGGUUUGAUGGUGACCCUGCAGGAAGGAACUGGGCCAUACCUCAUCAUGAAGCAUCUUCCAUGCAUGGGUUACUUAGGCUGCAUGUUGAUACACCGGUGCCCCGCAGAAGCCCUUGGUAUGGGGUGGGGAGGGGCUCUUAGGAUGCCUUCUCCAUAAUCUCUGCAGCCUUGAUCCUUCCCCGAGUGGAUAACACCUCUUUACAUCCCUUCUUAGGCAAAGUUAGGGCCUCUCCUUCCUAUUUUUUUCUGGUCUUCUCACCAUCUCUUUCUUAUCCAUAUGUUUCAUCUUUCUAUAAUAGUUCGCAAAGUAGUCAAAGGUCACAUGCUUUCUUUGAAACUGUCUCCUCAUGUCUGAGUAGGGAUAAUAAUUUUUACUUACUAAAAUUGUUAUGAUGAAUAUGAAAUUAGCUAUUUAGAGUGAGACACCCAAAGCCUGAUACAUUACAGAUGUUAACAUCUUAAUAUGCUAGCUAUCUAACCUUUCUGGUAUAUGUAGCUUCUUUUCAUUUUCCUCCUCCACUGUGAUGGUGAGAGUCCAAAUUUAUUUUGUCUUUUAAAGUAGUUAGAAGGUGGUGUGUCUUUAUCAUCUCUUCAGCUUUUAGUUGAAUUCAAAUUGAGAAUUCUUGAAUUUUUCAAUGAUACCCUCAUUUCAUGCAUGGAAUUUCAUUUGAGAACCUGACCUUGCCACUGUCCUUCCAUAUACAUGCCACUGUCUGCCAUAGAAAUGGGACACCACAGGAAUUUCCUAUUUUCAGCUAAUCUCUGAAGCAUUAUUCCUUUCCUGGGCUACCUUCGACCACCUCUUCAGAGGUUACUGUGUGUUCUACGGAACGCUAGCUCCAUGGACUAUUUAUAGGUGCCAAGAGAUCUAAAAAGUACCACAAAUGAAUAAAUUUGUGAGUCACUUGGUUUAAAUCAAGUAUAUCAAGUCUUCUGCAACCAGGUCUUCUGCAGGAUUUCCCAGAGUCUUUUGAUGCUAAUGUAUAUUGUGAAUCUCCAGGAGAGGUAGGGGGGACAUAGCACGCAAGGUUUUUCCAAUCCACUUGGCCAUAAAACCUAUUACCAGUUGAGCCUUUUAUGGGACAAGCAUUCCAAAACACUCACCUAGGAAAAUGCUGACCCAGUGUUUCAAGUAGUUUUCUCUAAUAAUGUCCUCUUUUUUCCAGGAAUACCACAUUUUUCUGUAUUCUUCCUCGGUUGUCUUGUCUAUUUUGUGCUGGCUCCUCCUUUUUUGUUGCAUUCCUGCUGGGUAAAUAUAGUCAUAGGCUGAAUGAUAAAACACAGUGAUUAGUUGACCAAGGAGAAGAGUGAAGAGCCACACCGGUGUGUGAUGAUAAAUAUUGCAAUAUGUUGAAUUCACCUUUGCUGCUUUUCUUUAACUGAUCUCAUAAAUGGGUGAAGGUAACAUCUCCAUUCUUCUCUAGGACUUGCCUUCUUAUUGGAACAGGGGAGCCUUAGUGGGGUCUUACAUAUAAUGAAUACCUUUUGGGGAAAUGGUCUAAUUUUUCUUUGUAAGAGCACACAUCAAAAUAGAUAGCCUAUAGUCAUUUGAUUAUUAUGGCUUCUCUGUUUCAAAUUUGCUUGCAAAACCUGGGGUGUAUAAGGUAGACCAGAUCAAAAGAUUUUCAUGUACACAGUUACCAGUAAGAAUGGAAAGAAUAAUUGACUCAUUUAUGCCUUCCCUCUCUUUAAUGUAUAGUGCAUCAUUAAUAAUUAAUAUUAGAUUCCCCUCCCCCCCUUUUUGGUUUCCUUUUCAUUGUAAUUCAGAUAAAACAUUUAUGAAAUGGAAUUAGUGCACUUCACACCUUGUAGCUAAUUUUUAAGACACAGUCCCCUCUGGAUUACUAUAUAUCUGAAUUAAAUUAGGAGAUCAGGAUUAACGCCCCUGCUUUCCUUUUCCUUUCUUUGGUCUGAAGCUUUCUCUCUGUAAUGAAAAGAAUAUGAUUUUUUUCUAAGCCUGCUCUUAAUUUUAUUUAGUCUAAUAAGAGCGAACAUAACCUACUUAUUGUUUUCUUUGUCUCCAUUUGUAAAGGGAUAUCACCUCUGUGACAGGUACAUAACCUUAGGCAACAUGUAAAUAAGGCACAUCCUUCCUGGGACUGCUUUUAUCUUUUUACAUAGGAUUUAAUUCUGGAAUUCUCCAUUUAUGAUAUCAAUUUGUUAUUGCCAUUUUAGGGAUACAAUAAAGUAAAAGAAUUUAAAAGCAGACUAGCUCUUUUUAAUGGGAGUUAAAGAAGAAAUGUAUAGAAUUUCUCUCUUACGGAAUACAUAUAUAUAUAUAUAUUUUUUUAUGGCUGCACCCACGACAUAUGGGAGUUCCUGGGCCAGGGACUGAUUCCAAGCCACAGCUGCAAACUACACUGCAGCUGUGGCAACUCUGGAUCCUUUAACCCGGACAGGGAUCGAACUUGUACCUCCACAGUGUCUCAAGCUCCUGCAGUCAGAUUCUUAACCCACUGUGCCAUAGAGGAAACUCUGGAAUACACAUGUUUAUAACACUUGUGUCCUUUAUAUUACAUUUACAGUGAUUUAUAUUUAAACUGAGGGUGUAUUUAUCAGAAAUGCCUUUAAAGGUCCCAUCUAUCUAUCUAUCUAUCUAUCUAUCUAUCUAUCUAUCUAUCUACCUAUCCUUCUCCCUUACAAAUUCUGAUUUAGUCAUUGUGGGUUGUGGCCCCAGUAUCUAAAUUCUUAGAGCCCCCCUGGGUUUUACUGUUGCACACCCAAUCAAGAAGCACUGGUGUACAAUGUUCUAUUUGGAAAUAAUUUCUACCGUGAGAAGUCUGCUUCAUUUGUGGCUGACAGGACAAAGGCACAGAAGGAUGAAAAGAUUUUUGUGGAAACCACACAGCAAGCCCUUGGGGAACCCAGUAAUAGGAAGGGAUUAUUUCCUUUUGGGUACUCUCUCCACCCCAGCAAAUGACCGCUGGAGGACGCAGGUGGGACCCUAAUUGUUAUUAACAGAGUUUCACACUGGGCCUCAGUUAUGCCUCUUCUAUGGUUUCUAGAAAAAAUAGGUCCACUUUGGUUGAGGCAGAGAACAUGAACGACCCGUGGGAAUCCUAGCUUUUUUUUUUUUUUUUCUAAUUCAGGAUAGUUUUAGAUUUGUUUUGGUUUAAAUGGGCCAGUAUGCCUACACAGACUGUUUGGGCCUGAAUGGUUACAACUUGUCUAAAUUUCCUCUUCACUUGUCUCCUUUCACGAACUCACACCUCCAUCUUCUUUAUUGCAGGAUAAACACGCAAUGAAAAGGAAAGGAGAGCAAAAGCAGUGCCUUUCCAAGGUUAAACUUCUGACUAAAUUGGAUCAGUUUUUCACAUUCUUUGCCUACAGGAUGUGAAAGUCAAUGCAGUUUCCUGUGUGCAGGUCCCGUUUUCAGGGUGGUUACAGCAUGUGAUCUUGACAGAUGGACCCCUACGGUAGGAUGUCCAGAGGGAGGGCAUAAAGGCGUCUUUUCUGGUGGUGAAACGUAGCUUUCUGAGAGCAAGGACAAGCAGUCGGUUUCCCCCAGAACUUUCAUACGUUGUCAUGCUGAACAAUUACUCCUAACCACAUGUGGUUAAGAGAAGCAUGCUUCAAUGGGAUUUAAGCAUGAAGUCCCCCUCCUUCAUUUCCACAAAUGAGAAGCAGAUGCCCGUAGUCUCUGGGUAAUAUUCAGGCCUUAAUAACAUUGCCAUGCAUCAGGCACAUUAAUGGAUGCUGACAGUGGUAAUAAGAAUAGUCAUAAUUAUAGGAAACUUUUAUUGAGUAUUUACCAAGUGCCAGCCACUAAUGUUUUAUGUGGAUUACUUUAUGUAAUCCUCACAAACCCCGACGUAGAAAGGUAGUGAAUGUGUUUUAUUUUAGGCCACCCAGAUUCUCUCUCCCUUCCUAUUGAUAAUAGUACCAAUAUUUUCAUGUCCUCCCCAAGGAAUCCCCUAUGCUUUGGGAGACACAGAUCCCAUCCUCAUCUCUAGGACAAGCCCUGAUAGUCCUAAACCAAUUCAGCAAAUCCAAGCCACAAAUUAGUUAGGGAUGAUCAUGUAUCAGAUUCGGACCAAUUAGGUCAAAGGAGACGUUUUCAGAGGGAACCUAGGUCUUCUGUCAAAAGGCCUAGAGGGACAUUCUAGUGUGGAAGCGUGGAAACUGCUGAAGGGAGUCAUCCUUGCCUAAAGGUAGUACCAAAGAAAUCAGUAAAGAAAAACAGGAAGAGGGAGUUCCCAUUGUGUUUCAGUGGAAACGAGUCUGACUCAUAUCCAUGAGGAUGCGAGUUCGACCCCCGGCCUUUCUCAGUGGGUCAGGUAUCCAGCAUUGCCAUGAGCUGCGGUGUAAGUCACAGACAUGGCUCGGAUCCCAUGUUGCUGUGGUGUAGGCCAACAGCUGUAGCACUGAUUCCACCCUGAGUCUAGGAACUUCCAAAUGCCAUGGCUAUCACCCUAAAAAGCAAACAAAAAUAAAACCCCCAAAAAACAACAACAAAAAAAACCAACCAACCAAACAAAAAACAAAAACAGGAAGAGGUGAGAAAUCUGUUGAUUUCACUGAGCAGCUAGAUGAGGCCUCAAUUAAAGCCGAUUUUACUUUCAGUUUUUUUCACCCAAUAGCUUACCUUCAUCAUUUAUGUUGAAUUGGGUUUUCUGGACCUGACAACCACAGGAUUCCUAACAGGUUCUGAUAUUAAAAGCUGUAUUUUAUAGAAAAGGAAAUGGGCUGAGAGAGUUUGAAUACUUUCCCAAUAUAAUUGAAAAAGUGAGAGAUUAGGGAUUUGAAUCCAGUGGUUUGACGCCAAAAUCCAUGAACAUACAUGAUACCUUGAGAAGAUGGAAAACAAUGUCAUUGUUAAGGAGAGAGUCCUAGAAAGUAAUGUAUUGCUUCUGUUUCUUAGUCCUGAUGGAAUGUGGAUUUAACCUGUGAAGAAUGUAUAAGAAAUCAAUUUGGAAUCUCAGGCUGUGUACCCUUUGUUUGAAACUUUCCAUAUUCAGAUUGUGGAGUGGCUUUAGGAGCCAAAACAUCUUACUGGAAAAAUCACUGUAAAUCACCUCUUUAUAAACUCAUCACAUGUACUAUUUAACGUUAAGUUUUUAGAAUAGAGUUGGAUUUAAGGUCAUUGACAAAUCUGAUUAUGUUUUUUAAUAACUUGGAUGUUUAUAAACAUGUACACUCUUGACCUUAAGAAGAGUCUGAAGUGAACUCCUAGGUAUUUUGGGUGCAUAACAGGAUUUGACAGUCUCUGAUUUAAAUUUUUGACUAUCUUUAUACAGGGAAACUGCAUGUAGUUGUUAGGAAACCUACUGAACAAUGAUGAAGCAAUUGAUCAGAAAUAAAGUCCAGAAGGAUAGAUAAUCUAUACUUGACAAAACAUACUCUCCCCCCUCUCCUCUCUUCUCUCUUCUUUUCGCAUCUUCCCUCUUGGAUUGGGAGAGAAAAGAGAAACAAAUUGACUUCGAAACACAUACAGGCUCCUUCCUGUAUGAUGACUUGAUGACUUUUUAGCAGUCAACUAGGAAUUUAUCUUGCACAUGGAAACAACCUAAAUGUUCACUCAGGAACAUAGAAAGAAGAUGUGGUACAGAUAUACGAUGGAAUACUACUCAGACAUAAAAAGGAUGAAUUAAUGCCAUUUAUGGUCAUAUGGAUGGACCUAGAGAUGAUCAUGCUAAGUGAAGCAAGUCAGAAAAAGAAAGACAAAUGUCAUGUAGGCUGGCAGCUACAGCUCCGAUUGGACCCCCAGCCUGGGAGCCUCCAUAUGCCAUGGGAGUGGUCCUCAAAAGACAAAAAAAAAAAAAAAAAAAAA
RNAcentral lists this long non-coding RNA (7773 nucleotides) under Sus scrofa (pig). RNAcentral's name for it is "lncRNA (ENSSSCG00050039363.1)". The record is from RNAcentral. Lineage: Eukaryota; Metazoa; Chordata; Mammalia; Artiodactyla; Suidae.